This 503-nucleotide ribosomal RNA is filed under the name uncultured bacterium. RNAcentral describes it as "bacterial SSU rRNA". It matches the Rfam family "Bacterial small subunit ribosomal RNA", at positions 26 to 518 of the family's 1533-position model. The record is from RNAcentral.
CUAGGAUGAACGCUAGCUACAGGCUUAACACAUGCAAGUCGAGGGGCAGCAUGGGAUAGCUGCUAUUCAGAUGGCGACCGGCGCACGGGUGAGUAACGCGUAUCCAACCUCCUGCCAGUAGGGAACAGCCCGGCGAAAGUCGGAUUAAUGCCCUAUGUUCUUCAAUGCGGACAUCUAAGUUGAAGGAAAGAUUCAUCGCUGGCAGAUGGGGAUGCGUCCGAUUAGCUUGCCGGCGGGGUAACGGCCCACCGGGGCGACGAUCGGUAGGGGUUCUGAGAGGAAGGUCCCCCACACUGGUACUGAGACACGGACCAGACUCCUACGGGAGGCAGCAGUGAGGAAUAUUGGUCAAUGGGCGUAAGCCUGAACCAGCCAAGUAGCGUGCAGGGAAUGACGGCCCUACGGGUUGUAAACUGCUUUUAUGCGGGGAUAAAGUGCGGCACGUGUGCCGCUUUGCAGGUACCGCAUGAAUAAGGACCGGCUAAUUCCGUGCCAGCCGCAGC